AGCAGUCGCCACGGUAAUACGGAGGAUCCAAGCGUUAUCCGGAUUUAUUGGGUUUAAAGGGUGCGUAGGCGGCCUAUUAAGUCAGGGGUGAAAGACGGUAGCUCAACUAUCGCAGUGCCUUUGAUACUGAUGGGCUUGAAUGUACUUGAGGUAGGCGGAAUGUGACAAGUAGCGGUGAAAUGCAUAGAUAUGUCACAGAACACCAAUUGCGAAGGCAGCUUACUAAAGUAUGAUUGACGCUGAUGCACGAAAGCUAGGGGAGCAAACAGGAUUAGAUACCCCAGUAGUCCCUGUCUCUUAUAA
RNAcentral lists this ribosomal RNA (303 nucleotides) under uncultured bacterium. RNAcentral describes it as "partial 16S ribosomal RNA". It matches the Rfam family "Bacterial small subunit ribosomal RNA", at positions 507 to 809 of the family's 1533-position model. The record is from RNAcentral.